AUUGUCUGUGGCUCUGUGACAAAACCUCUAAUUGAAGCAGUGUUGUUAAGAAAUAGAAAAACAAAUGUUUCAGAUGCAACUGAUAUUCCAAGUCUGGAAGAAGACCUAAGGCAACUUUUCUUUGAAAAUGGUGACUCAAGCGGGCAAGGCAACAAUCAAAUAGCCCCAAGGGCAAGUAGCCUAAGGUUGCUAAUAGCUCACCCCACAAUAACUGUUCACUACUUGUGGAGAAAAUUCGACGAAC
Molecule: unclassified non-coding RNA, 244 nt
Filed under: Hevea brasiliensis (rubber tree)
Lineage: Eukaryota; Viridiplantae; Streptophyta; Magnoliopsida; Malpighiales; Euphorbiaceae
Source: RNAcentral